AACGAACGCUGGCGGCAUGCCUAACACAUGCAAGUCGAACGAGACCUUCGGGUCUAGUGGCGCACGGGUGCGUAACGCGUGGGAACCUGCCCUUAGGUUCGGAAUAACUCCCUGAAAGGGGUGCUAAUACCGGAUAAUGUCUUCGGACCAAAGAUUUAUCGCCUUUGGAUGGGCCCGCGUUGGAUUAGCUAGUUGGUAGGGUAAAAGCCUACCAAGGCGACGAUCCAUAGCUGGUCUGAGAGGAUGAUCAGCCACACUGGGACUGAGACACGGCCCAGACUCCUACGGGAGGCAGCAGUGGGUAAUAUUGGACAAUGGGCGAAAGCCUGAUCCAGCAAUGCCGCGUGAGUGAUGAAGGCCUUAGGGUUGUAAAGCUCUUUUACCCGGGAUGAUAAUGACAGUACCGGGAGAAUAAGCUCCGGCUAACUCCGUG
This 433-nucleotide ribosomal RNA is filed under the name uncultured bacterium. RNAcentral describes it as "partial 16S ribosomal RNA". It matches the Rfam family "Bacterial small subunit ribosomal RNA", at positions 29 to 507 of the family's 1533-position model. The record is from RNAcentral.